Molecule: ribosomal RNA, 844 nt
Filed under: Arthrobacter sp.
Lineage: Bacteria; Bacillati; Actinomycetota; Actinomycetes; Micrococcales; Micrococcaceae
Description: bacterial SSU rRNA
Rfam family: Bacterial small subunit ribosomal RNA
Source: RNAcentral
CCAUUGGCAAGUCGACGAUGAUCCGGUGCUUGCACCGGGGAUUAGUGGCGAACGGGUGAGUAACACGUGAGUAACCUGCCCUUAACUCUGGGAUAAGCCUGGGAAACUGGGUCUAAUACCGGAUAUGACUCCUCAUCGCAUGGUGGGGGGUGGAAAGCUUUAUUGUGGUUUUGGAUGGACUCGCGGCCUAUCAGCUUGUUGGUGAGGUAAUGGCUCACCAAGGCGACGACGGGUAGCCGGCCUGAGAGGGUGACCGGCCACACUGGGACUGAGACACGGCCCAGACUCCUACGGGAGGCAGCAGUGGGGAAUAUUGCACAAUGGGCGAAAGCCUGAUGCAGCGACGCCGCGUGAGGGAUGACGGCCUUCGGGUUGUAAACCUCUUUCAGUAGGGAAGAAGCGAAAGUGACGGUACCUGCAGAAGAAGCGCCGGCUAACUACGUGCCAGCAGCCGCGGUAAUACGUAGGGCGCAAGCGUUAUCCGGAAUUAUUGGGCGUAAAGAGCUCGUAGGCGGUUUGUCGCGUCUGCCGUGAAAGUCCGGGGCUCAACUCCGGAUCUGCGGUGGGUACGGGCAGACUAGAGUGAUGUAGGGGAGACUGGAAUUCCUGGUGUAGCGGUGAAAUGCGCAGAUAUCAGGAGGAACACCGAUGGCGAAGGCAGGUCUCUGGGCAUUAACUGACGCUGAGGAGCGAAAGCAUGGGGAGCGAACAGGAUUAGAUACCCUGGUAGUCCAUGCCGUAAACGUUGGGCACUAGGUGUGGGGGGACAUUCCACGUUUUCCGCGCCGUAGCUAACGCAUUAAGUGCCCCGCCUGGGGAGUACGGCCGCAAGGCUAAAACUCAA